GCCCCCGUAGCUCAGUAGGAUAGAGCGCCGGUUUCCUAAACCGUAGGUCGCACGUUCGAAUCGUGUCGGGGGCA
Molecule: transfer RNA, 74 nt
Filed under: Nitrospinae bacterium RIFCSPLOWO2_12_39_16
Lineage: Bacteria; Pseudomonadati; Nitrospinota
Also listed under: 1 other name
Description: tRNA-Arg
Rfam family: tRNA
About the family: Transfer RNA (tRNA) molecules are approximately 80 nucleotides in length.
Source: RNAcentral